GAGGGCGUAGUGUAAUGGCUGCACGCCACACUGUCACUGUGGUAGUUGGGGUUCGAAUCCCCCGCUCUCG
Molecule: transfer RNA, 70 nt
Filed under: Caudoviricetes sp.
Lineage: Duplodnaviria; Heunggongvirae; Uroviricota; Caudoviricetes
Description: tRNA-Asp
Rfam family: tRNA
About the family: Transfer RNA (tRNA) molecules are approximately 80 nucleotides in length.
Source: RNAcentral